CCUACGGGGGGCAGCAGUGAGGAAUAUUGGUCUAUGGACGAGAGUCUGAACCAGCCAAGUAGCGUGAAGGAUGACUGCCCUAUGGGUUGUAAACUUCUUUUAUAUGGGAAUAAAACGUUCCACGUGUGGGAUUUUGUAUGUACCAUAUGAAUAAGGAUCGGCUAACUCCGUGCCAGCAGCCGCGGUAAUACGGAGGAUCCGAGCGUUAUCCGGAUUUAUUGGGUUUAAAGGGAGCGUAGGUGGAUUGUUAAGUCAGUUGUGAAAGUUUGCGGCUCAACCGUAAAAUUGCAGUUGAAACUGGCAGUCUUGAGUACAGUAGAGGUGGGCGGAAUUCGUGGUGUAGCGGUGAAAUGCUUAGAUAUCACGAAGAACUCCGAUUGCGAAGGCAGUUCACUGGACUGCAACUGACACUGAGGCUCGAAAGUGUGGGUAUCAAACAGGAUUAGAUACCCCAGUAGUC
RNAcentral lists this ribosomal RNA (460 nucleotides) under uncultured bacterium. RNAcentral describes it as "partial 16S ribosomal RNA". It matches the Rfam family "Bacterial small subunit ribosomal RNA", at positions 338 to 795 of the family's 1533-position model. The record is from RNAcentral.